Molecule: ribosomal RNA, 437 nt
Filed under: Hodotermes mossambicus
Lineage: Eukaryota; Metazoa; Arthropoda; Insecta; Blattodea; Hodotermitidae
Description: partial 12S ribosomal RNA
Source: RNAcentral
UAAACUAGGAUUAGAUACCCUAUUAUUUUAGAUGUUAAUUUUUUGACAUGAAUAGUAUUAGUUAUGUUCUUGAAACUUAAAGAAUUUGGCGGUAUUUCAUUCUGUUCAGAGGAAUCUGCCUCGUUAUCGAUAAUCCGCGUUGGACCUUGCUUGAUUUAAUUUGUUUGUAUACCGCCGUUAUAAUGAGUAUCCUUUUAGGGUUUUUUAAUUUUCUUAUUCUAUGAUUUUAGUUUAUUUCAGGUCAAGGUGCAGCUUAUGGUCAAGUGUUUGGUGGAUUACAUUUAUUAAUUUAUUAUCGGAUCACUUGUUGUAAUUCUGGUGUGAAGUUGGAUUUGAUUGUAACUUAAUUAAAGUUUGUUUUGGUGAUUUAUGUUUUGAAAUAUGCACACAUCGCCCGUCGCUCUCGUUAUUUAGGCGAGAUAAGUCGUAACAUAGUA